CCUACGGGAGGCAGCAGUGAGGAAUAUUGGUCAAUGGCCGGAAGGCUGAACCAGCCAAGCCGCGUGAAGGACGAAGGUGCCAAGCAUUGUAAACUUCUUUUGUCAAGGGACAAAAUCAGGCUCGAGAGCCUGACCGAGGGUACUUGAAGAAAAAGCAUCGGCUAACUCCGUGCCAGCAGCCGCGGUAAUACGGAGGAUGCGAGCGUUAUCCGGAUUUAUUGGGUUUAAAGGGUGCGUAGGCGGGCUGUUAAGUCAGCGGGAAAAGCCCGGGGCUCAACCCCGGCGAGCCGUUGAAACUGGCUGUCUUGAGAUGUCGAGAGGUAUGCGGAAUGCGCAGUGUAGCGGUGAAAUGCUUAGAUAUUGAGCAGAACUCCGAUUGCGAAGGCAGCAUACCGGCGGCGAUCUGACGCUGAGGCACGAAAGCGUGGGUAUCGCACAGGAUUAGAUACCCCUGUAGUC
This 459-nucleotide ribosomal RNA is filed under the name uncultured bacterium. RNAcentral's name for it is "partial 16S ribosomal RNA". It matches the Rfam family "Bacterial small subunit ribosomal RNA", at positions 338 to 795 of the family's 1533-position model. The record is from RNAcentral.